AAUAAGUGUAGUCGUGAAUAUUCGUGUUCAACGUUUAACCGUCCAUCUUAUUUAAAAAAUUUAUAAAAAAAAUUAAAAAAUUUAGUUACACAUAAAGUACUAUUCAUAUUUUAUCAUCUAAUAGCAACAAAAAUACUAAUCAUAAAUUUUUUUUAAACAAGACGAAUGGUCAUACGACGAAUGGUCAUACGUUGAACGUGAAUAGUGCAAAACUGUACUUAUU
Oryza sativa Indica Group (long-grained rice) is the source of this 223-nucleotide microRNA precursor. It matches the Rfam family "MIR812 microRNA precursor family". The record is from Rfam. NCBI's taxonomy places the organism in Eukaryota, Viridiplantae, Streptophyta, Magnoliopsida, Poales, Poaceae.